Molecule: unclassified non-coding RNA, 265 nt
Filed under: plant metagenome
Description: partial contains small subunit ribosomal RNA, internal transcribed spacer 1, and 5.8S ribosomal RNA
Source: RNAcentral
UUUCCGUAGGUGAACCUGCGGAAGGAUCAUUAUUGUAUAACCGAGGUGCGAGGGCUGUCGCUGACCCGAAAGGUCGUGCACGCCCGAGUGCCCUCACACACACAUCCAUCUCACCCCUAUGUGCACCACCGCGUGGGUCCCCCUUUGGCUUGUCCGGAGGGGGGCUUACGUUUUCACACAAACUUUGUAUGCAGUGUAGAAUGUAUUUUUUGUUUUUGCGAUCACGCAAUCAAUACAACUUUCAACAACGGAUCUCUUGGCUCUC